Molecule: non-coding RNA, 21 nt
Organism: Caenorhabditis elegans
Lineage: Eukaryota; Metazoa; Nematoda; Chromadorea; Rhabditida; Rhabditidae
Source: Ensembl
GUCAGGCUCAGUCUUAUCAUC